GAUGUAGAACGUAGUGAAAUGCGAUAAGUAAUGUGAAUUGCAGAAUUCAGUGAAUCAUCGAAUCUUUGAACGCACCUUGCGCCCUUUGGCCAUUCCGAAGGGCAUGCCUGUUUGAGUAUCAUGAACACCUCAACUCUUCAUGGUUUUCCGUGAUGAGCUUGGACUUUGGGGGUCUUGCUGGCCUAUGGUCAGCUCCUCUAAAAUAAAUCAGCUUGCCAGUGUUUGGUGGGUAUCACAGGUGUGAUAACUAUCUACGCUUGUGGUUUUCCACCAGGUAACCUUCAGCAGUGGAGGUUCGCUGGAGCUCACAGAUGUGUCUCUCCUCAGUGAGGACAGCUCUUUGAAUGUUUGAUCUCAAAUCAGGUAGGACUACCCGCUGAACUUAAGCAUAUCAAUAAGCGGAGGA
This 406-nucleotide unclassified non-coding RNA is filed under the name soil metagenome. RNAcentral's name for it is "partial contains 5.8S ribosomal RNA, internal transcribed spacer 2, and large subunit ribosomal RNA". The stretch from base 1 to 121 matches the Rfam family "5.8S ribosomal RNA", at positions 35 to 154 of the family's 154-position model. The record is from RNAcentral.